UGCAGUCGAACGAUGAAGCUUCUAGCUUGCUAGAAGUGGAUUAGUGGCGCACGGGUGAGUAAGGUAUAGUUAAUCUGCCCUACACAAGAGGACAACAGUUGGAAACGACUGCUAAUACUCUAUACUCCUGCUUAACACAAGUUGAGUAGGGAAAGUUUUUCGGUGUAGGAUGAGACUAUAUAGUAUCAGCUAGUUGGUAAGGUAAUGGCUUACCAAGGCUAUGACGCUUAACUGGUCUGAGAGGAUGAUCAGUCACACUGGAACUGAGACACGGUCCAGACUCCUACGGGAGGCAGCAGUAGGGAAUAUUGCGCAAUGGGGGAAACCCUGACGCAGCAACGCCGCGUGGAGGAUGACACUUUUCGGAGCGUAAACUCCUUUUCUUAGGGAAGAAUUCUGACGGUACCUAAGGAAUAAGCACCGGCUAACUCCGUGCCAGCAGCCGCGGUAAUACGGAGGGUGCAAGCGUUACUCGGAAUCACUGGGCGUAAAGGGCGCGUAGGCGGAUUAUCAAGUCUCUUGUGAAAUCUAAUGGCUUAACCAUUAAACUGCUUGGGAAACUGAUAGUCUAGAGUGAGGGAGAGGCAGAUGGAAUUGGUGGUGUAGGGGUAAAA
Molecule: ribosomal RNA, 614 nt
Filed under: Campylobacter jejuni
Lineage: Bacteria; Pseudomonadati; Campylobacterota; Epsilonproteobacteria; Campylobacterales; Campylobacteraceae
Also listed under: 1 other name
Description: bacterial SSU rRNA
Rfam family: Bacterial small subunit ribosomal RNA
Source: RNAcentral